UGUCUCCUGCGGUGUUCGACGGCUCCGUCCAAACCCCUUGAGCCUAAUUGCAAAACCCCGGGAGCCUUACCUGGUUCUGGCGUGCAGGCCCACCUUGCAGUGGGAAGCCCAAAGGCCGGCGCGGUGCCCACUUGAGACGUUCGUCUCAAGGUCAGUGACGAUGGCUACGGCACAGGCGGGAGACAC
This 186-nucleotide non-coding RNA is filed under the name Nevskiaceae bacterium. Its description in RNAcentral is "Sinobacteraceae bacterium 6S RNA". It matches the Rfam family "6S / SsrS RNA". Rfam says of the family: E. coli 6S RNA was the first non coding RNA to be sequenced, but its function was unknown until recently. Lineage: Bacteria; Pseudomonadati; Pseudomonadota; Gammaproteobacteria; Nevskiales; Nevskiaceae. RNAcentral also lists the same sequence under 2 other names. The record is from RNAcentral.